Molecule: ribosomal RNA, 255 nt
Filed under: uncultured bacterium
Lineage: Bacteria
Description: partial 16S ribosomal RNA
Rfam family: Bacterial small subunit ribosomal RNA
Source: RNAcentral
AAUACCGCAUACGUCCUACGGGAGAAAGCAGGGGACCUUCGGGCCUUGCGCUAUCAGAUGAGCCUAGGUCGGAUUAGCUAGUUGGUGAGGUAAUGGCUCACCAAGGCGACGAUCCGUAACUGGUCUGAGAGGAUGAUCAGUCACACUGGAACUGAGACACGGUCCAGACUCCUACGGGAGGCAGCAGUGGGGAAUAUUGGACAAUGGGCGAAAGCCUGAUCCAGACAGGCCGCGUGUGUGAAGAAGGUCUUCGGA